UAAAGAAUAGCAUAAAAAAUGCUUCUUGCUUACAACAAGAGGAUAGUUGAGUAACUUUCUUUAA
This 64-nucleotide transfer RNA is filed under the name Novaculina chinensis. RNAcentral's name for it is "tRNA-Val". Lineage: Eukaryota; Metazoa; Mollusca; Bivalvia; Adapedonta; Pharidae. The record is from RNAcentral.